This 74-nucleotide transfer RNA is filed under the name Acaryochloris sp. RU_4_1. Its description in RNAcentral is "tRNA-Asp". It matches the Rfam family "tRNA". Rfam says of the family: Transfer RNA (tRNA) molecules are approximately 80 nucleotides in length. The record is from RNAcentral. Lineage: Bacteria; Bacillati; Cyanobacteriota; Cyanophyceae; Acaryochloridales; Acaryochloridaceae.
GGGAAUGUAGCUUAGUCCGGUAAAGCGGUCGCUUGUCGAGCGAAAGAUCGUGGGUUCAAAUCCCAUCAUUCCCG